CGUAGAGGUAGUCCGUGGCGCGGGCCGCACCGUUCGGGUCCUCGGUCAGGCGGGACAGUUUGCCUUCCUCGUUCCAGUCCAGGUUCUGCGUC
RNAcentral lists this transfer RNA (92 nucleotides) under Streptomyces minutiscleroticus. RNAcentral describes it as "tRNA-Glu". The record is from RNAcentral. Lineage: Bacteria; Bacillati; Actinomycetota; Actinomycetes; Kitasatosporales; Streptomycetaceae.